This 234-nucleotide ribosomal RNA is filed under the name uncultured Pseudomonadales bacterium. Its description in RNAcentral is "partial 16S ribosomal RNA". It matches the Rfam family "Bacterial small subunit ribosomal RNA", at positions 96 to 334 of the family's 1533-position model. Lineage: Bacteria; Pseudomonadati; Pseudomonadota; Gammaproteobacteria; Pseudomonadales. The record is from RNAcentral.
CGGCGGACGGGUGAGUAAUGCUUAGGAAUCUGCAUAUUAUGGGGGACAACAUCUCGAAAGGGAUGCUAAUACCGCAUACGUCCUACGGGAGAAAGCAGGGGACCUUCGGGCCUUGCGCUAAUAGAUGAGCCUAAGUCGGAUUAGCUAGUUGGUGGGGUAAAGGCCUACCAAGGCGACGAUCUGUAGCGGGUCUGAGAGGAUGAUCCGCCACACUGGGACUGAGACACGGCCCAG